AGAGUUUGAUCAUGGCUCAGAUUGAACGCUGGCGGCAGGCCUAACACAUGCAAGUCGAGCGGCAGCGACAACAUUGAACCUUCGGGGGAUUUGUUGGGCGGCGAGCGGCGGACGGGUGAGUAAUGCCUGGGAAAUUGCCCUGAUGUGGGGGAUAACCAUUGGAAACGAUGGCUAAUACCGCAUGAUAGCUUCGGCUCAAAGAGGGGGACCUUCGGGCCUCUCGCGUCAGGAUAUGCCCAGGUGGGAUUAGCUAGUUGGUGAGGUAAGGGCUCACCAAGGCGACGAUCCCUAGCUGGUCUGAGAGGAUGAUCAGCCACACAGGUACCUGAGACACGGUCCAGACUCCUACGGGAGGCAGCAGUGGGGAAUAUUGCACAAUGGGCGCAAGCCUGAUGCAGCCAUGCCGCGUGUAUGAAGAAGGCCUUUGGGUUGUAAAGUACUUUCAGCAGUGAGGAAGGGGAUAU
Molecule: ribosomal RNA, 464 nt
Filed under: Vibrio furnissii CIP 102972
Lineage: Bacteria; Pseudomonadati; Pseudomonadota; Gammaproteobacteria; Vibrionales; Vibrionaceae
Description: bacterial SSU rRNA
Rfam family: Bacterial small subunit ribosomal RNA
Source: RNAcentral